GGGCCCGCACAAGCGGUGGAGUAUGUGGUUUAAUUCGACGCAACGCGAAAAACCUUACCUGGGUUUGACAUGCUUUUGAAUAUUGUAGAGAUAUAAUAGUCCGCAAGGACAAAAGCACAGGUGCUGCAUGGCUGUCGUCAGCUCGUGUCGUGAGAUGUUGGGUUAAGUCCCGCAACGAGCGCAACCCUUAUCCUUAAUUGCUAACUCUGUUUACAGAGAGGACUUUAAGGAGACUGCCUGGGAUAACCAGGAGGAAGGCGGGGAUGACGUCAAGUCCUCAUGGCCCUUAUGUCCAGGGCUACACACGUACUACAAUGGCUGAUACAAAGGGUUGCAAUAUCGUAAGAUGGAGCUAAUCCCAUAAAGUCAGUCUCAGUUCGGAUUGUGGGCUGCAACUCGCCCACAUGAAGUCGGAAUCGCUAGUAAUCGUGGAUCAGCAUGCCACGGUGAAUACGUUCCCGGGCCUU
Molecule: ribosomal RNA, 467 nt
Filed under: uncultured bacterium
Lineage: Bacteria
Description: bacterial SSU rRNA
Rfam family: Bacterial small subunit ribosomal RNA
Source: RNAcentral